RNAcentral lists this ribosomal RNA (954 nucleotides) under Parengyodontium album. RNAcentral describes it as "SSU rRNA". It matches the Rfam family "Eukaryotic small subunit ribosomal RNA", at positions 113 to 1072 of the family's 1831-position model. The record is from RNAcentral. Lineage: Eukaryota; Fungi; Ascomycota; Sordariomycetes; Hypocreales; Cordycipitaceae.
UAAGAUACCAGAAAGUUCUUAUAACCUUAAUACUUAAACUCCUUAGGGGAAUUGACAGAUGAUACAUGCUAAAAAUCCCGACUUCCGAAGGGAUGUAUUUAUUAGAUUAAAAACCAAUGCCCUCUGGGCUCUUUGGUGAUUCAUGAUAACUUCUCGAAUCGCACGGCCUUGCGCCGGCGAUGGUUCAUUCAAAUUUCUUCCCUAUCAACUUUCGAUGUUUGGGUAUUGGCCAAACAUGGUUGCAACGGGUAACGGAGGGUUAGGGCUCGACCCCGGAGAAGGAGCCUGAGAAACGGCUACUACAUCCAAGGAAGGCAGCAGGCGCGCAAAUUACCCAAUCCCGACACGGGGAGGUAGUGACAAUAAAUACUGAUACAGGGCUCUUUUGGGUCUUGUAAUUGGAAUGAGUACAAUUUAAAUCCCUUAACGAGGAACAAUUGGAGGGCAAGUCUGGUGCCAGCAGCCGCGGUAAUUCCAGCUCCAAUAGCGUAUAUUAAAGUUGUUGUGGUUAAAAAGCUCGUAGUUGAACCUUGGGCCUGGCUGGCCGGUCCGCCUCACCGCGUGUACUGGUCCGGCCGGGCCUUUCCCUCUGUGGAACCUCAUGCCCUUCACUGGGUGUGACGGGGAAACAGGACUUUUACUUUGAAAAAAUUAGAGUGCUCCAGGCAGGCCUAUGCUCGAAUACAUUAGCAUGGAAUAAUGAAAUAGGACGUGUGGUUCUAUUUUGUUGGUUUCUAGGACCGCCGUAAUGAUUAAUAGGGACAGUCGGGGGCAUCAGUAUUCAAUUGUCAGAGGUGAAAUUCUUGGAUUUAUUGAAGAAUAACUACUGCGAAAGCAUUUGCCAAGGAUGUUUUCAUUAAUCAGGAACGAAAGUUAGGGGAUGGAAGACGAUCAGAUGUAGUCAUAUUCUUGUCUAGAUCCUGGAAGCCAAGUGGAUUGAGCGAUGAUAUAAAU